Microplitis demolitor is the source of this 343-nucleotide long non-coding RNA. RefSeq lists it as uncharacterized. Lineage: Eukaryota; Metazoa; Arthropoda; Insecta; Hymenoptera; Braconidae. The record is from RefSeq and is a predicted model, not a curated record. The transcript is spliced from 3 exons.
AGAAUUUGAAUCAGCUCUUGUUGAAACUACACGAAAAUUUCAUUGUUUACUAAAGUACACAGGUAAUAAAGCUCUUUUAAAAUCCAAAGCUGUCAGACGAAUUCACAAGUUCCAUAUAUAAGUAUAUAUAUGAAUACGACGUUAGUGUACCAGUGAUGUAAAUUUAAUGCAUCUUCUAUACCGCCUUCAAUGAGUUUUCUUGCGAUUUUUAUCGCAAAAUUGCGACUUGAAAGGACCAGCCUGUUGGAGAAGAAAAACCGAAGCGAUCCGCAUAUAAAAGACUUUGUGAUAUCAUCAGGCUUUUCAUAUGAAAAAAAUUACAUUUUUUUUACAAACAAUUAAA